AUGCCCCACCCGGCGCUUAUCUCCGGCACUCUUAAUGGCUUAGCUCUUGAAGGGGCGAAGUCAUCAU
This 67-nucleotide small RNA is filed under the name Pantoea sp. GL120224-02. Its description in RNAcentral is "rydB RNA". Lineage: Bacteria; Pseudomonadati; Pseudomonadota; Gammaproteobacteria; Enterobacterales; Erwiniaceae. The record is from RNAcentral.